UCUGGGUCUACAUCUACGAAUUCAACAAAUCGAAAAUUGUCGACCCGAAUCAUAUCCCCACCAACAUGGAGAUCAAGAUUCCGGCCAAGGAGCUCUACGGCAUCGACGCCGACAACAGCGCCUCCGUAGAAAAGGCCAAGGCCAUUCAGGCUCGCCUAAACGCCCAGAAGUAAUCCGCACAAGUUCUGGUUUUCCACUGGGGGAGGGAGAGAGGACGCGUCGCUCGGAGCGAUGUGCCCUCUCUCUUUUUUUGCCGUAAGCCAUGGUGCGAUUCGGAAGAUCUUCCGAGGUGUUUCCGGACGUGGUGAAAUACCCUUCCGAGGUGGUCAUAAUCACGUUCCGAACGUCAUUAAAUAUGGUUCAGGACGUGAUUAAAUACCCCGUCGAACCGUAUUAAAUACCCCUCAGGACGUCAUUAAAUACCCCUCUAAACCAUAUUAAAUACCCCUCGGAACGUGGUUAAAUAACGUCCAGAACGUGGUUGUGACCACCUCGGAACCGUAUUAAACCACGUUCGGAACGUGAUUAAAUACUAUUCGGAACCGUAUUGUAAUACGUUCUGAGGUGGUUGUAAUAGGUUCGGAACGUAUUCCGACCACCUCGGAACGUAUUCCGAUACGUUCGGAACGUGUCGAGACGACCGGACCUUUUCACCCAAAAACAGAAGAGCCACCCGAUCACUUGAUUUGAUCGAGCGGCUCUUUCUUUUCGUCUCUUCCAUUGGAAUGGUCGGGGGGGCUUAUUGCAGCAGCCAGAAGUAGAUCUCGGAGUCUUUUUCGCCGGAUUCUAUUUUCCCUUCUUUGGCCAGCCAUCCGAUGGCGGCAAACAGUUCUUUGUCUGUUCUCAGCUUUGUUUCCUUCUUGAGCUCUUUUACACUCAUGCGUCCAGCCUUGCUCAAAGCUCUCCAUACAAGGCCUGCGUUUGUUCCGAUCAGCUUAAUCAUAUUCCCUUGAAAAUGUAUGUUUAACGUGGGCGCAAAGAUAGGAGUGCUUUUGAAAUCGAGGCACUAUCAAACGUCCUUCUGGUACCACGCGGCGCGGCGGAAAUAGACGAUGCUGCCGAUUGUGAUGGCGACGUAGUAGACGAUGUCCGAAACGAAACUCAGGUGUACCGGUAGGCGGAGGCGGACGACGGCGACGUAGAUAUAUAAGGUAUAGACCGCCAGGGCGAGCAUCUCCAAGAGGAAGGCGUGCCGUGUGUUGCCCGUGCCGGAGAUGGCGCUGAAAGCGAUGCUCGAGGCCGCGGAGCUGAGCGAGGCCAGGGCGAUGACGACGACCGAGGGGAUGGAGGCGGUGAUCAGCUCGGCUUCAUUCGUGUAAACGGAUAGGAAGAGGCGCGGCAGGAGCACAAGCAGGGACGAAAGUCGGGCUUAGUGAUCCGGUGGUGCCGAGUGGAAGGGCCAUCGCUCAACGGAUAAAAGCUACCCUGGGGAUAACAGGCUAAUCUCUCCCAAGAGUCCAUAUCGACGGGGAGGUUUGGCACCUCGAUGUCGGCUCAUCACAUCCUGGGGCUGAAGUAGGUCCCAAGGGUUCGGCUGUUCGCCGAUUAAAGUGGUACGUGAGCUGGGUUCAGAACGUCGUGAGACAGUUCGGUCCCUAUCCAUCGCGGGCGCAAGAAACUUGAAGGGGGCUGCUCCUAGUACGAGAGGACCGGAGUGGACGAACCGCUGGUGUACCAAUUAUCCUGCCAAGGGUACAGUUGGGUAGCUACGUUCGGGACGGAUAAACGCUGAAAGCAUCUAAGCGUGAAACCAGCCUUGAGAUGAGGUUUCUCAUAGCAUAAGCUAGUAAGAUCCCAUGUAGACGACAUGGUAGAUAGGCCAGGUGUGGAAGAGCCGUGAGGUUUGGAGCUGACUGGUACUAAUCGAUCGAGGGCUUUACUU
RNAcentral lists this ribosomal RNA (1882 nucleotides) under human oral metagenome. RNAcentral describes it as "bacterial LSU rRNA". The stretch from base 1145 to 1882 matches the Rfam family "Bacterial large subunit ribosomal RNA". The record is from RNAcentral.